AACAAUGAACACUUCAAAUUUGUCCCCAGUGCCAAUACACCCCACUGCUACCCUCGCUUGCUGCUCAUCGAAAUGACUGCUGGACUGCCUGCUGAGGGCUACAAGUGGUCAUUGGCUGGCUCCUGGCGCUCCGUUCGAGUGCGGAUUUUAGUUGGAUCCGAAAUGAAUUUUUUGCUUUUGAGGUUAAAGGGCAAAAUCUGUGCAGCUAGGCGUCGGCGAACACAAGCGGAUGGCAGCUAAAUAUUUACAAGCGAGUCCAACGAGAACACAUCCGCAAACAAAAAGCGCAGACAGAGGGAAGCACAGAGGAGUUUUAUGAAAAUGGCCAUCCCAUGUACGCAUACAUGCAAACGCAUGUGUGUGUGUGUGCACAUAACCACAUGGUGGCGCACCAGCCACGCCCACCACCCAACGCCCACCAUCCAACGCCCAGCACGCGUGGCAAGUGGCAACAAUUCGACAAUUAUGUGGCAUUUCCACUGCUGCCCCUCGCUGUUCGUUUUUAUUUUAAUUAAAAAGUCCCCCGCCAGGAUGCAAAAAGCGAACAGGUUCGCGGAUUCCCACACCUGCAGGUCGAACCAAACCAAACCAAAACCAAAGGAAAAAAAAGGAAACCCAUUCCAUGUGUUAGAAUUUUUGAUAUUUAUGGGCAGUGGCCACUGGUCGGUGCAAAGUUACAGCCCGAUAAGCAUCUGCAACAGCCGGAGGCACCAAGGGGCACCAGGGGUCACCAAGGGGCACCAUGGGGCACCAUGGAAGGUGCCCCAAAAACCACCGCCCACUGCAGCUGUUGUGGCGGAGAUUUUGCAGAUUUUCGGUGCGUUGCGACGGUUUGGUUCGCAAUUAUGCAAAUCGAAAGAUCGCCACACAGCGAUAUCCGGAAAUUCCAUGCAUUUACAAUUUUCUAAUCAAUGGAAUUAUAAUUUUAAUUUCCAAGGC
Long non-coding RNA from Drosophila teissieri, 939 nucleotides. RefSeq lists it as uncharacterized. The transcript is spliced from 2 exons. Lineage: Eukaryota; Metazoa; Arthropoda; Insecta; Diptera; Drosophilidae. The record is from RefSeq and is a predicted model, not a curated record.